CCACUGAGAAGAUAGUGGCGAACGGGUGAGUAACACGUGGGUAACCUGCCCAUAAGAGGGGGAUAACAUCCGGAAACGGGUGCUAAUACCGCAUAGUUUUCUUGAUCGCAUGAUUGAGAAAGGAAGACGGCCUUUGUGCUGUCGCUUAUGGAUGGACCCGCGGCGUAUUAGUUAGUUGGUGAGGUAACGGCUCACCAAGACGAUGAUACGUAGCCGACCUGAGAGGGUGAUCGGCCACAUUGGGACUGAGACACGGCCCAAACUCCUACGGGAGGCAGCAGUAGGGAAUCUUCCGCAAUGGACGAAAGUCUGACGGAGCAACGCCGCGUGAGUGAAGAAGGUUUUCGGAAUCGUAAAACUCUGUUGUCAGAGAAGAACAAGUUGGAGAGUAACUGCUCCAGCCUUGACGGUAUCUGACCAGAAAGCCACGGCUAACUACGUGCCAGCAGCUGC
This 453-nucleotide ribosomal RNA is filed under the name uncultured bacterium. RNAcentral describes it as "bacterial SSU rRNA". It matches the Rfam family "Bacterial small subunit ribosomal RNA", at positions 81 to 518 of the family's 1533-position model. The record is from RNAcentral.